Molecule: long non-coding RNA, 217 nt
Filed under: Helianthus annuus (common sunflower)
Lineage: Eukaryota; Viridiplantae; Streptophyta; Magnoliopsida; Asterales; Asteraceae
Description: sRNA HanXRQr2_Chr12g0557611
Source: RNAcentral
GGAACAAGAAAAACAAGGGCUCACCCUUGUUCUCACCAAAUUCACCAAAUUGACAAGGGAAAAUCGAUGAUUAUCAAUUGCAUGUGGUAGAAUUUCGAUCAGUUACCCAUAUCCAAUCAAGUGGCGUGAAGGAAGAAGGCUCAAGUGCUAAGAAAACGGAAGGUUCACAAGAUCGAGUACUCACUAGAUGGGUAGUAAAUCCUCGACUUAGGCAAUU